GGAAUUGUGGAAAGUGGCGGAAGGGAGAGGAAUAAGUAGAAAUCUGCCCUCGGGACGGGGAUAGCGGUGGGAAACUGCCGGUAAUACCCGAUAACAUCUUCGGAUCAAAUGGUGUGAUUCCGCCUGGGGAUGAGUCUACUUCCUAUUAGCUAGUUGGUGGGGUAAUGGCCUACCAAGGCAACGAUGGGUAGCGGGUGUGAGAGCACGACCCGCCUCACUGGGACUGAGACACUGCCCAGACACCUACGGGUGGCUGCAGUCGAGAAUCUUCGGCAAUGGGGGAAACCCUGACCGAGCGACGCCGCGUGCGGGAUGAAGGCCCUUGGGUUGUAAACCGCUGUCGUAAGGGAACAAAAU
RNAcentral lists this ribosomal RNA (357 nucleotides) under uncultured bacterium. Its description in RNAcentral is "bacterial SSU rRNA". It matches the Rfam family "Bacterial small subunit ribosomal RNA", at positions 82 to 452 of the family's 1533-position model. The record is from RNAcentral.